GUGAACGCUGGCGGUAGGCCUAACACCUGCAAGUCGAACGGCAGCACAGUAAGAGCUUGCUCUUACGGGUGGCGAGUGGCGGACGGGUGAGGAAUACAUCGGAAUCUACUUUUUCGUGGGGGAUAACGUAGGGAAACUUACGCUAAUACCGCAUACGACCUACGGGUGAAAGCAGGGGAUCUUCGGACCUUGCGCGAUUGAAUGAGCCGAUGUCGGAUUAGCUAGUUGGCGGGGUAAAGGCCCACCAAGGCGACGAUCCGUAGCUGGUCUGAGAGGAUGAUCAGCCACACUGGAACUGAGACACGGUCCAGACUCCUACGGGAGGCAGCAGUGGGGAAUAUUGGACAAUGGGCGCAAGCCUGAUCCAGCCAUACCGCGUGGGUGAAGAAGGCCUUCGGGUUGUAAAGCCCUUUUGUUGGGAAAGAAAAGCAGCAGGUUAAUACCCCGCUGUUCUGACGGUACCCAAAGAAUAAGCACCGGCUAACUUCGUG
RNAcentral lists this ribosomal RNA (491 nucleotides) under uncultured bacterium. RNAcentral's name for it is "partial 16S ribosomal RNA". It matches the Rfam family "Bacterial small subunit ribosomal RNA", at positions 29 to 507 of the family's 1533-position model. The record is from RNAcentral.